UAAUACUCCAUAGAUUAGAGACACUGAAAUGUUCUUUAGUCGAAAGUUCUGGCGCCUUAGGAUGGAUCUGCGGUCGAUUAGGUUGUUGUUGGGGUAACGACCCAACAAGCCAGUAAUCGGUACGGGUUGUGGGAGCAAGAGCCCGGAGUUGGAUUCUGAGACACGAAUCCAGGCCCUACGGGGCGCAGCAGGCGCGAAAACUUUACAAUGCGGGCAACCGUGAUAAGGGAACCUCGAGUGCCUGUAUAUGCAGGCUGUCCAGGUGUCUAAAGAACACCUGAAGAAAGGGCCGGGCAAGACCGGUGCCAGCCGCCGCGGUAAUACCGGCGGCUCGAGUGGUGGCCACUUUUAUUGGGCUUAAAGCGUUCGUAGCUGGGUUAUUAAGUCUCUUGGGAAAUCCGACGGCUCAACUGUCGGGCGUCUAAGAGAUACUGGUAAUCUUGGAACCGGGAGAGGUGAGGGGUACUUCGGGGGUAGGAGUGAAAUCCUGUAAUCCUCGAGGGACCACCUGUGGCGAAGGCGCCUCACCAGAACGGCUUCGACAGUGAGGGACGAAAGCUGGGGGAGCGAACCGGAUUAGAUACCCGGGUAGUCCCAGCCGUAAACUAUGCGCGUUAGGUGU
Molecule: ribosomal RNA, 622 nt
Filed under: uncultured archaeon
Lineage: Archaea
Description: bacterial SSU rRNA
Rfam family: Archaeal small subunit ribosomal RNA
Source: RNAcentral